RNAcentral lists this ribosomal RNA (238 nucleotides) under uncultured bacterium. RNAcentral's name for it is "partial 16S ribosomal RNA". It matches the Rfam family "Bacterial small subunit ribosomal RNA", at positions 96 to 334 of the family's 1533-position model. The record is from RNAcentral.
CGGCGGACGGGUGAGUAACGCGUGGGUAACCUGCCUCAUACAGGGGGAUAACAGUUGGAAACGGCUGCUAAUACCGCAUAAGCGCACAGUACCGCAUGGUACGGUGUGGAAAACUCCGGUGGUAUGAGAUGGACCCGCGUCUGAUUAGGUAGUUGGUGGGGUAACGGCCUACCAAGCCGACGAUCAGUAGCCGACCUGAGAGGGUGACCGGCCACAUUGGGACUGAGACACGGCCCAA